GACGAACGCUGGCGGCGUGCCUAAUACAUGCAAGUCGAACGCAGUGGGGACGGGUGAGUAACACGUGGGUAACCUCCCAUCAGAGGGGAUAACACUUGGAAACAGGUGCUAAACCGAUACUGAUGGAUGGACCCGCGGUGCAUUAGCUAGUUGGUGAGGUAACGGCUCACCAAGGCCACGAUGCAUAGGCGACCGGAGGGGGGGAUCGGCCACCUGGGGGAUGAGACACGGCCCAGAAUCCGACGGGAGGCAGCAGCAGGGAAGCUUCGGGAAGGAGCGAAAGGCUGAACGAGCAACGCCGGGUGAGUGAAGAAGGUUUUCGGAUCGUAAAACUCUGUUGUUAGAGAAGCGGUAUCUAACCAGAAAGCCACGGUUAACUACGUGCCAGCAGCGGCGGAAAUA
This 402-nucleotide ribosomal RNA is filed under the name uncultured bacterium. RNAcentral's name for it is "partial 16S ribosomal RNA". It matches the Rfam family "Bacterial small subunit ribosomal RNA", at positions 28 to 525 of the family's 1533-position model. The record is from RNAcentral.